Molecule: long non-coding RNA, 436 nt
Organism: Poecilia reticulata (guppy)
Lineage: Eukaryota; Metazoa; Chordata; Actinopteri; Cyprinodontiformes; Poeciliidae
Source: RefSeq, a predicted model, not a curated record
UCAUUUCCAAAAACUGUCUACAUUUUGGGUUCAGCAAGGACGUUUGAAUCCAGUGAAGUUUCCCUCAGGCGUUUUUGACAGAAACAGCUUAUUUAUGAGAGACUGAUGUGGAGAUGGUCAGAGGAUGUGCCGGGUCGCCGCCGAGCCAACAGGGACCCGGACUGAUCUACUGUAUGCGGAAAAGCUCUGGGAGACGUGUGAAUAAGUGAGACGUUACAGACUGAUGGGAUUCCCAGAGAGCCAACAAACGGACAACGUGAUGCAGAAAACAGAUGGAGACGGCGCCGCCUCCCUCGUCUUUUACACAUCCGUGAAAACACACCAAUGAACGCAACACAGAGAGACACACACCUGCCUCAGCUGGAUGAUCUAUGAGCCUCUGAAGGGAAAUUUGUUUAACCUAUCCUGUAAAAUAAUGUGAUUUUUCUCACCCACA